GGGGAUAUGGUCUAGUGGUAUGACGUUCCAUUUGCAUUGGAAAGGUGCUGGGUUCGAUUCCCAGUUUCUCCA
Aspergillus terreus NIH2624 is the source of this 72-nucleotide transfer RNA. It matches the Rfam family "tRNA". Rfam says of the family: Transfer RNA (tRNA) molecules are approximately 80 nucleotides in length. Their secondary structure includes four short double-helical elements and three loops (D, anti-codon, and T loops). NCBI's taxonomy places the organism in Eukaryota, Fungi, Ascomycota, Eurotiomycetes, Eurotiales, Aspergillaceae. The record is from Rfam.